This is a long non-coding RNA of Oreochromis niloticus (Nile tilapia), 1955 nucleotides long. RefSeq lists it as uncharacterized. The record is from RefSeq and is a predicted model, not a curated record. The transcript has 4 exons. Lineage: Eukaryota; Metazoa; Chordata; Actinopteri; Cichliformes; Cichlidae.
CUCUGUCAGGCAACUCAGUAUUUAAAUGCCCUCAGAUAUUCAGUAUAUCUGCAGUGGCAGCAUGUCAGCAAACUGGAGCACUAUCAUGAUGCAGCUUUUCAUUAGAUUUGUACUUUUUCCCCUCUGGCUUCAAGGUCACUGCCAGGAUGUUACUCAAUAUCCUAAAAUCAGCUGGAGUUAUUUGUCCAGUUCUGCAGAGAUGAACUGCAGCCAUAACAAAGACUUUACUUAUAUGCAGACAUACUGGUACAUUCAGCGACCAGGAAAGACCAUGACCUUCAUCCUCUCCAAACCUCUUGGGGGGAAGAUUGAAUAUGGAGACGUCUCUGAAGCAAAAUAUUUAGCCAGCAAAAAAACUUUGACAUUGGGACCCUCACAGUGAAACACUUGCAGUUUAAUGACAGCGGGGUGUAUUUUUGUGCCGUCGGCAGACACAGUGAUGCGAGAAGAAUGAGAAGCUGAGCAAAAACUGUUUGCUAAUCAAUUAGAUGUAUAUUGGAAAAAAACAAGCAUUUUAUAUCAUGUCACCAGGUGGCACUAGGGCUCAAGAAAUACUUCACCUUAACAUGCAGCAUGUGAAAUAUAAAGUAGGAUUUCAGAGGGCACAAACAAAGAGUUCACAGCAAACAAAACUACUUUAAAUGUCAACUUUGAAUUUUGUUCAAAGAUAAUCUUUUACUAAGAGAGUAAGAGAUAAUUACUUCUAUGGCCCCUGAGUUGAUAAAUUUCUCUCCAUCUAUCACGUCACAAAAUGUAGAUUCUAAAAAGCUACAGAAGCUUUUUCCCUCAUUUAUAUUGAAUGGAGCUUUGAUUAAAUGGGUUUUUCUUUUAGGCUCUCUCAGACCUCAUAAAUUCACUUGAACUCCUGGCCCCUCCCAAGUUGCUGAAGCCUUUUUCUGUCUGGGAGGGAUUGGGUUUCUUUAUCACUUCGGUUACCAUCACUAUCAGCCACUAUAAGUCACUUUCAUCUCAUGCAAAGCCCAUGUGUAGUCUGAAUCGCUUUUUGAGCAGUUGCUCAAAAUGAUCAUGUUUCUCCUCUUUUGUCUGGCAGGUGUUUGUGAGGGUCUUCGAGUUCAUCAGACUCCCUCUGAUAUUAUCACACAACCUAAUGACAAACCUGGUGACAAAAUUCAUAUUUUCUGCACCCAUAAUAAAACCGACUACUGGGUGAUGCUCUGGUACCAGCAGCCACCUGGAGACACAGCUAUGAAACUCAUUGGGUAUUUAUACUCCAAAGAUGUCACAAUGGAAGAGCCAUAUAAAAAUAAUUUCACCAUCUCUGGAGACCUGACGGGGAAUACAGCAAAGAAGAGUUCUCUCAUAAUUAAACUUGCGGGACAAGAGCAAAAUGCAGUUUACUACUGUGUUGCGAGAGAAGCACAAUGACAAAAAGGCUCUUUGAACCUUACAAAAACUGCACAAUGUGGAAUCAUCAGUGGUUUAAAAAACAGAAAGGGAAUAAACUGAUCACAUACACCUGUUUUGUGGUUGUACUGUGGUUUGAUGUAAUCAUGUUUCCAUUGGCUAACGUAUUUUGUGACUGUUUUUUAUGUUUGUUAUAAGGAAAUCUGUCCAAAAGCAUCAUUUGUUGUGAAAUCUAAUAAAAGGAGAACUUAUAUAGAUAAAUCACAUGAAGCCACUCCUCCUCUGCCUACAUCACACUGGUUUCUUCGUGCAGUGACACCCAGCUCUGCGAGAAAGCACCUGCAGCACAGACUCUGUUGGUUUAAAUGCUGCGAUACAGCCAUCAUUUUAUAGUAGCUCAUGUCAGAACUCUACACAAUGAUCAGAUUUCUUUUUGGCCUUUUCCUCACAGCAGGUAUUUCACUGGGGGUUCGGGUCCAUCAGUCUCCCUCUGCUGCUAUCAGAAAUGCUGGUGAUGAUGUAGAACUAAUCUGCACCCAUGAAAAAACUGACUACAGAGUGAUGCUGUGGUACCAGCAGUCACCUGGAGA